AGUGAACGCUGGCGGUAGGCCUAACACAUGCAAGUCGAACGGCAGCACAGGAGAGCUUGCUCUCUGGGUGGCGAGUGGCGGACGGGCGAGGAAUACAUCGGAAUCUACUUUUUCGUGGGGGAUAACGUAGGAAAACUUACGCUAAUACCGCAUACGACCUACGGGUGAAAGCAGGGGAUCUUCGGACCUUGCGCGAUUGAAUGAGCCGAUGUCGGAUUAGCUAGUUGGCGGGGUAAAGGCCCACCAAGGCGACGAUCCGUAGCUGGUCUGAGAGGAUGAUCAGCCCAACUGGAACUGAUACACGGUCCAGACUCGUACGGGAGGCAGCAGUGGGGAAUAUUGGACAAUGGGCGCAAGCCUGAUUCAGCCAUACCGCGUGGGUGAAGAAGGCCUUCGGGUUGUAAAGCCCUUUUGUUGGGAAAGAAAUCCAGCUGGUUAAUACCCGGUUGGGAUGACGGUACCGGAAGAAUAAGGACCGGCUAACUACGUGCCAGCCGCCGCCGUAA
This 506-nucleotide ribosomal RNA is filed under the name uncultured bacterium. RNAcentral describes it as "partial 16S ribosomal RNA". It matches the Rfam family "Bacterial small subunit ribosomal RNA", at positions 29 to 523 of the family's 1533-position model. The record is from RNAcentral.